Rhagoletis zephyria (snowberry fruit fly) is the source of this 217-nucleotide long non-coding RNA. RefSeq lists it as uncharacterized. Lineage: Eukaryota; Metazoa; Arthropoda; Insecta; Diptera; Tephritidae. The record is from RefSeq and is a predicted model, not a curated record.
UUUCGAUGCAAACGCAACAACAACGAUAUGAUCCUGAUAGAUGUCUGGUUCAGUUUAUGAUCCGCUCUGUUUGUUUUGUUUCACUAAUAAUUUGGCAAUAUGGUUUGGUAGCACUGACAAAUGAAUGUAUACACAAAGAGAUAUUCUGCCAUUGUUUCUUUUAAUUUGUUUCAAAUAAAUCGCCUUAAUGUUAAAUAUUUAUUUAAUUGAAUAUUAU